RNAcentral lists this unclassified non-coding RNA (1156 nucleotides) under Hevea brasiliensis (rubber tree). The record is from RNAcentral. Lineage: Eukaryota; Viridiplantae; Streptophyta; Magnoliopsida; Malpighiales; Euphorbiaceae.
AAAAAAAAAAAAAUUGCAAUGCUACAAAUAAAGAGUUGAAGUUUGCAUGCUCCAGCACAUAAGAGUUGAGAAACCGAAGCUUCUUCCUAAUCUCAGGCAUUUCAUCCUAUUUUAAUGACAACAAAGUGAGAAGAACUGCCUGCAAUUAUUUCAGUACUAGAAUUAGAAAUUUGGAGAACACUCAGCCCCAGAAUAUCCUCAUGUUAGGCAAUGCAGUCAAGUACAUGAGCCAAACUUCCCAGAUCCUCUACGAAUAUCAAAACUACUAUUGUUUAUUGGCCCAAAUAUUGAGGUGCAUUUUUUUUUACUUUUAUCUGUUCCCUUAUUAGUUGAGACUUGAGAGGGAAAGAGGCGUAGGGUUUGGGCGUGGGCUUUGGGCUAAAGAUAGCACAAAGGUGCUUGAAUGACCUGAAUAUUCAUUUAUGAUGCAACAGUGCCUCAAUUCAUAGCUCAAAAGACUCAGGCAGCAAAGCAUCUUCCCAGCAGCACACGGUCAUGCAGCAUUUCAAUGCAGCCUGCCCCAAGUUGUCGGCAUAAAAUCAAAGAAAAUAAAACAGCUGAAUCCCACACUAAAUCCUUUCCACCAGCACAGCCUAGGAUAUUUCCCCAGGGAGCCACUAUAGUCAUCUUGCAGUAGAUGAGCCGGCUUGUCAUGAUGCAUGGAAGUGCUCAAUAUAACAUGAAUCAGUAUGAAAAGUCAGACUAUAAGAUGAGGACAUGCCCCCAGAACCAGAACAGGCAAGGACCAUAACUUUCCAGCAAUUUGAACCCAAAGGCCAUUGCAAAUAGCAUGAUCCUAAGAUCAGAAGAUGAAUCUAAAUUUGACUUGUGAUCUAGAAGGACAAUCAACAACAUAUCGUGAACCAACAAACACAAUAGAAUAGACCCAAACAAUGAGCCCAUACAAGCACAGGUUGAACCAAGACAUCCUGCAAUCGCCCGGUCUGCCUUAAGAACCAACCAAAAUUGCACCUACAGCGCAAAACUGGGGCAUAUAACCAAGACCUUGCACAAUGCUAUUGCUACAAUCUUCAUCACAUAAUCAAGGGACUUCUGACCACAGUUCAUGUUUGGUUGGUGCUGCACUUGGUACCAAAGAAGAAAUACUCAUCAGUGUUAACAUUAAUAAUUAGCAUCUUAAGAACCUUGAUUUCAU